GAUGAACGCUGGCGGCGUGCUUAACACAUGCAAGUCGAACGGGAAACCUUUUAUUGAAGCUUCGGCAGAUUUAGCUGGUUUCUAGUGGCGGACGGGUGAGUAACGCGUGGGUAACCUGCCUUAUACAGGGGGAUAACAACCAGAAAUGGUUGCUAAUACCGCAUAAGCGCACAGGACCGCAUGGUCCGGUGUGAAAAACUCCGGUGGUAUAAGAUGGACCCGCGUUGGAUUAGCUAGUUGGCAGGGUAACGGCCUACCAAGGCGACGAUCCAUAGCCGGCCUGGGAGGGUGAACGGCCACAUUGGGGCUGGGACACGGCCCAGACUCCUACGGGAGGCAGCAGUGGGGAAUAUUGCACAAUGGGGGGAACCCUGAUGCAGCGACGCCGGGUGAAGGAAGAAGUAUCUCGGUAUGUAAACUUCUAUCAGCAGGGAAGAUAGUGACGGUACCUGACUAAGAAGCCCCGGCUAACUACGUG
This 478-nucleotide ribosomal RNA is filed under the name uncultured bacterium. RNAcentral describes it as "partial 16S ribosomal RNA". It matches the Rfam family "Bacterial small subunit ribosomal RNA", at positions 28 to 507 of the family's 1533-position model. The record is from RNAcentral.